Molecule: ribosomal RNA, 272 nt
Filed under: uncultured bacterium
Lineage: Bacteria
Description: partial 16S ribosomal RNA
Rfam family: Bacterial small subunit ribosomal RNA
Source: RNAcentral
UACAGAGGGUGCAAACGUUGCUCGGAAUCAUUGGGCGUAAAGCGCACGUAGGCGGCUCAGCAAGCGGGGAGUGAAAGCCCUCGGCUUAACCGAGGAAGUGCUUUCCGAACUACUGAGCUUGAAUACCGGAGAGGAUCGCGGAAUUCCCGGUGUAGAGGUGAAAUUCGUAGAUAUCGGGAGGAACGCCAGUGGCGAAGGCGGCGAUCUGGACGGAUAUUGACGCUGAGGUGCGAAAGCGUGGGGAGCAAACAGGAUUAGAUACCCCGAGUAGU